Molecule: ribosomal RNA, 470 nt
Filed under: Knoellia sp. 'ARUP UnID 357'
Lineage: Bacteria; Bacillati; Actinomycetota; Actinomycetes; Micrococcales; Intrasporangiaceae
Description: bacterial SSU rRNA
Rfam family: Bacterial small subunit ribosomal RNA
Source: RNAcentral
GGACGAACGCUGGCGGCGUGCUUAACACAUGCAAGUCGAACGGUGACCCUCGGAGCUUGCUUCGGGGUGAACAGUGGCGAACGGGUGAGUAACACGUGAGUAACCUGCCCCUGACUCUGGAAUAAGCGCUGGAAACGGCGUCUAAUACCGGAUACGACACGCCUCCGCAUGGGGAGCGUGUGGAAAGUUUUUCGGUCUGGGAUGGACUCGCGGCCUAUCAGCUUGUUGGUGAGGUAAUGGCUCACCAAGGCGAUGACGGGUAGCCGGCCUGAGAGGGCGACCGGCCACACUGGGACUGAGACACGGCCCAGACUCCUACGGGAGGCAGCAGUGGGGAAUAUUGCACAAUGGGCGAAAGCCUGAUGCAGCGACGCCGCGUGAGGGAUGACGGCCUUCGGGUUGUAAACCUCUUUCAGCAGGGAAGAAGCGAAAGUGACGGUACCUGCAGAAGAAGCACCGGCUAACUACGU